GAUGAACGCUGACAGAAUGCUUAACACAUGCAAGUCUUUGGCGAAGCUGUGCUUGCACAGCCUAGCCAAGGCGGGCGGGUGAGUAACGCGUAAGGAACUUGCCCUGCAGUCAGGGAUAACAGACGGAAACGACUGAUAAGACCUGGUAAAGUCAGGCGGACUCAUGUCCAGCCUGAUGAAAAGUGAUGCUGCAGGAGAGCCUUGCGUCCUAUUAGCUUGUUGGUGGGGUAACGGCCCACCAAGGCGAUGAUAGGUAGCCGGCCUGAGAGGGUGGACGGCCACAAGGGGACUGAGAUACGGCCCUUACUCCUACGGGAGGCAGCAGUGGGGAAUAUUGGACAAUGGGGGCAACCCUGAUCCAGCAAUUCUGUGUGCACGAUGAAGGUUUUCGGAUUGUAAAGUGCUUUCAGCAGGGAAGAAAAAAAUGACGGUACCUGCAGAAGAAGCGACGGCUAAAUACGUG
This 463-nucleotide ribosomal RNA is filed under the name uncultured bacterium. RNAcentral describes it as "partial 16S ribosomal RNA". It matches the Rfam family "Bacterial small subunit ribosomal RNA", at positions 28 to 507 of the family's 1533-position model. The record is from RNAcentral.